RNAcentral lists this transfer RNA (74 nucleotides) under Microbacterium sediminis. RNAcentral's name for it is "Microbacterium sp. ylb-01 tRNA". It matches the Rfam family "tRNA". From Rfam's summary of the family: Transfer RNA (tRNA) molecules are approximately 80 nucleotides in length. Their secondary structure includes four short double-helical elements and three loops (D, anti-codon, and T loops). Further hydrogen bonds mediate the characteristic L-shaped molecular structure. tRNAs have two regions of fundamental functional importance: the anti-codon, which is responsible for specific mRNA codon recognition, and the 3' end, to which the tRNAs corresponding amino acid is attached (by aminoacyl-tRNA synthetases). tRNAs cope with the degeneracy of the genetic code in two manners: having more than one tRNA (with a specific anti-codon) for a particular amino acid; and 'wobble' base-pairing, i.e. permitting non-standard base-pairing at the 3rd anti-codon position. Lineage: Bacteria; Bacillati; Actinomycetota; Actinomycetes; Micrococcales; Microbacteriaceae. The record is from Rfam by way of RNAcentral.
CCCCCCGUAGCCCAAUUGGCAGAGGCAGCCGACUUAAACUCGGCCCAGUCUCGGUUCGAGUCCGAGCGGGGGGA